This 466-nucleotide ribosomal RNA is filed under the name uncultured bacterium. Its description in RNAcentral is "partial 16S ribosomal RNA". It matches the Rfam family "Bacterial small subunit ribosomal RNA", at positions 28 to 507 of the family's 1533-position model. The record is from RNAcentral.
GAUGAACGCUGGCGGCGUGCUUAACACAUGCAAGUCGAGCGAUGAAGCCCAGCUUGCUGGGUGGAUUAGUGGCGAACGGGUGAGUAACACGUGAGUAACCUGCCCUUAACUCUGGGAUAAGCCUGGGAAACUGGGUCUAAUACCGGAUAGGAGCGUCCACCGCAUGGUGGGUGUUGGAAAGAUUUAUCGGUUUUGGAUGGACUCGCGGCCUAUCAGCUUGUUGGUGAGGUAAUGGCUCACCAAGGCGACGACGGGUAGCCGGCCUGAGAGGGUGACCGGCCACACUGGGACUGAGACACGGCCCAGACUCCUACGGGAGGCAGCAGUGGGGAAUAUUGCACAAUGGGCGCAAGCCUGAUGCAGCGACGCCGCGUGAGGGAUGACGGCCUUCGGGUUGUAAACCUCUUUCAGUAGGGAAGAAGCGAAAGUGACGGUACCUGCAGAAGAAGCACCGGCUAACUACGUG